RNAcentral lists this long non-coding RNA (381 nucleotides) under Androctonus crassicauda. The record is from RNAcentral. Lineage: Eukaryota; Metazoa; Arthropoda; Arachnida; Scorpiones; Buthidae.
AGCGAACGCGACCUCCGACUGCUCCUUCGAAACCGGCGUUUCCAUGGAAUUUCGACCUCCGGAAAACAGGGGUUUGUCCCGUUUGCGAGCGGGCUUUUUUUAUCCACGGGGGCUUUUCCGGCCCGCAGGAAUGGCGGACGCGGCCCCCGCCUGUUCCUUCGGACCCCCGGAACUGGCGUUUCCGCGGAUUUCCGGCCGCCGAAAGCACGGGUUGCGUGCCCGCCUGGACUCAUGCACGCAAAACAUUCGGCCGCAACAGCGGAUCGCGGCGCGCAAUCGGCAACAACUGGGCCGGAGAGAGGCCCGGAUUGCGCAUGUGCCACAGACGGUCUGAACGACGCAUAGGCCGACUGAAAUAGCUGCUCUGAAGAGAUGCUGUCA